RNAcentral lists this transfer RNA (65 nucleotides) under Neucentropus mandjuricus. RNAcentral describes it as "tRNA-Leu". The record is from RNAcentral. Lineage: Eukaryota; Metazoa; Arthropoda; Insecta; Trichoptera; Polycentropodidae.
UCUAAUAUGGCAGAAUUAAUGCAUUGAAUUUAAGCUUCAAUUAUAAAUUUUUUAUUUUUUUAGAA